AUUGAACGCUGGCGGCAGGCCUAACACAUGCAAGUCGAGCGGAUGAAGGGAGCUUGCUCCUGGAUUCAGCGGCGGACGGGUGAGUAAUGCCUAGGAAUCUGCCUGGUAGUGGGGGAUAACGUCCGGAAACGGGCGCUAAUACCGCAUACGUCCUGAGGGAGAAAGUGGGGGAUCUUCGGACCUCACGCUAUCAGAUGAGCCUAGGUCGGAUUAGCUAGUUGGUGGGGUAAAGGCCUACCAAGGCGACGAUCCGUAACUGGUCUGAGAGGAUGAUCAGUCACACUGGAACUGAGACACGGUCCAGACUCCUACGGGAGGCAGCAGUGGGGAAUAUUCGACAAUGGGCGAAAGCCUGAUCCAGCCAUGCCGCGUGUGUGAAGAAGGUCUUCGGAUUGUAAAGCACUUUAAGUUGGGAGGAAGGGCAGUAAGUUAAUACCUUGCUGUUUUGACGGUACCAACAGAAUAAGCACCGGCUAACUUCGUG
RNAcentral lists this ribosomal RNA (484 nucleotides) under uncultured bacterium. RNAcentral's name for it is "partial 16S ribosomal RNA". It matches the Rfam family "Bacterial small subunit ribosomal RNA", at positions 30 to 507 of the family's 1533-position model. The record is from RNAcentral.